RNAcentral lists this non-coding RNA (81 nucleotides) under Pseudomonadota bacterium. Lineage: Bacteria; Pseudomonadati; Pseudomonadota. The record is from RNAcentral.
AGUUUUUCGCGUGGCGAUUUGGGCCGGCCGGCUUGCGACCACGCUAUUGACUGCUCGCUAAAAGGCCGGGAUGCGCGAUAA